UACGUAGGUGGCAAGCGUUGUCCGGAAUUAUUGGGCGUAAAGCGCGCGCAGGUGGUUUCUUAAGUCUGAUGUGAAAGCCCACGGCUCAACCGUGGAGGGUCAUUGGAAACUGGGGAGCUUGAGUGCAGAAGAGGAAAGUGGAAUUUCAGGUGUAGCGGUGAAAUGCGUAGAUAUCUGAAGGAACAUCAGUGGCGAAAGCGACUUCCUGGACGAAUACUGACGCUCAUGUGCGAAAGCGUGGGGAGCAAACAGG
Molecule: ribosomal RNA, 253 nt
Filed under: uncultured bacterium
Lineage: Bacteria
Description: partial 16S ribosomal RNA
Rfam family: Bacterial small subunit ribosomal RNA
Source: RNAcentral